UACGUAGGAGGCGAGCGUUGUCCGGAGUUACUGGGCGUAAAGGGCGCGCAGGCGGCCAGUCGCGUUCCGGGUGAAAGCUCCGAGCUAAACUCGGAGAGGUUCCGGAAAACGGGCUGGCUUGAGCGUCGGAGAGGGGCAUGGAACUCCGGGUGGAGCGGUGAAAUGCGUAGAGAUCCGGAAGAACACCAAUGGCGAAGGCAGUGCCCUGGCCGACUGCUGACGCUCAGGCGCGAAAGCGUGGGGAGCAAACAGG
Molecule: ribosomal RNA, 253 nt
Filed under: uncultured bacterium
Lineage: Bacteria
Description: partial 16S ribosomal RNA
Rfam family: Bacterial small subunit ribosomal RNA
Source: RNAcentral